RNAcentral lists this ribosomal RNA (383 nucleotides) under uncultured eukaryote. Its description in RNAcentral is "partial 18S ribosomal RNA". It matches the Rfam family "Eukaryotic small subunit ribosomal RNA", at positions 592 to 976 of the family's 1831-position model. The record is from RNAcentral.
CAAUAGCGUAUAUUAAAGUUGUUGCAGUUAAAAAGCUCGUAGUUGGAUUUCUGGUGGGAGCGAUCGGUCUGGCGCUUAGCGCGAGUACUUGCAUCGUCUCCGGCCAUCCUUGGGGAGAGUCUGUCUGGCAUUAGGUUGUCGGGCAGGGGAUCCUCAUCGUUUACUGUGAAAAAAUUAGAGUGUUCAAAGCAGGCUUAUGCCGUUGAAUAUAUUAGCAUGGAAUAAUAAGAUAGGACUUUGGUACUAUUUUGUUGGUUUGCGCACCAAAGUAAUGAUUAAUAGGGACAGUUGGGGGUAUUCGUAUUCCGUUGUCAGAGGCGAAAUUCUUGGAUUUACGGAAGACGAACUACUGCGAAAGCAUUUACCAAGGAUGUUUUCAUUAA